This 578-nucleotide ribosomal RNA is filed under the name Hepatozoon canis. RNAcentral describes it as "bacterial SSU rRNA". It matches the Rfam family "Eukaryotic small subunit ribosomal RNA", at positions 189 to 769 of the family's 1831-position model. The record is from RNAcentral. Lineage: Eukaryota; Apicomplexa; Hepatozoidae.
UUUAUUAGAAGAGACGCAUUUAUUAGAUAAAAAGCCAGUUCAUGCUUUUAYAGUAUGAAAAUUGGUGAUUUAUAAUAACUUAGCAAAUCGCAAAGUGAAAACAGGCGAUAAAUCAUUCAAGUUUCUGACCUAUCAGCUUUCGACGGUAUGGUAUUGGCUUACCGUGGCAGUGACGGUUAACGGGGGAUUAGGGUUCGAUUCCGGAGAGGGAGCCUGAGAAACGGCUACCACAUCUAAGGAAGGCAGCAGGCGCGCAAAUUACCCAAUUCUAACAGUUUGAGAGAGGUAGUAACAAGAAAUAACAAUACAAGGCAGUUAAAAUGCUUUGUAAUUGGAAUGAUAGAAAUUUAAACCCUUUUUAAAGUAUCAAUUGGAGGGCAAGUCUGGUGCCAGCAGCCGCGGUAAUUCCAGCUCCAAUAGCGUAUAUUAAAAUUGUUGCAGUUAAAAAGCUCGUAGUUGAAGUUCUGCUGAAAGUAACCGGUCUGCUUUUAAUAAAAGUGGUAUCUUGGUAUGUAUUUMGCAAUGAUGUCCUUUGAAGUGUUUUUUACUUUAUUGUAAUAAAGCAUAUUCAGGACUUU